Molecule: ribosomal RNA, 434 nt
Filed under: uncultured bacterium
Lineage: Bacteria
Description: bacterial SSU rRNA
Rfam family: Bacterial small subunit ribosomal RNA
Source: RNAcentral
AACGAACGCUGGCGGCAGGCCUAACACAUGCAAGUCGAGCGCGCCUUCGGGUGAGCGGCGGACGGGUUAGUAACGCGUGGGAACGUGCCCUUCUCUACGGAAUAGCCUCUGGAAACGGAGAGUAAUACCGUAUACGCCCUUUGGGGGAAAGAUUUAUCGGAGAAGGAUCGGCCCGCGUUAGAUUAGGUAGUUGGUGGGGUAACGGCCUACCAAGCCUACGAUCUAUAGCUGGUUUUAGAGGAUGAUCAGCAACACUGGGACUGAGACACGGCCCAGACUCCUACGGGAGGCAGCAGUGGGGAAUCUUAGACGAUGGGGGCAACCCUGAUCUAGCCUAUGCCGCGUGAGUGAUGAAGGCCUCUGGGCUGUAAACCUCUUUUAUCAAGGAAGAAGAUCUGACGGUACUUGAUGAAUAAGCCACGGCUAAUUCCGUG